RNAcentral lists this microRNA (23 nucleotides) under Monodelphis domestica (gray short-tailed opossum). Its description in RNAcentral is "mdo-miR-7347-5p". Lineage: Eukaryota; Metazoa; Chordata; Mammalia; Didelphimorphia; Didelphidae. The record is from miRBase by way of RNAcentral.
CAAGUCAAUUGAGUCAAAAUGUU